This 494-nucleotide ribosomal RNA is filed under the name uncultured bacterium. RNAcentral's name for it is "partial 16S ribosomal RNA". It matches the Rfam family "Bacterial small subunit ribosomal RNA", at positions 30 to 507 of the family's 1533-position model. The record is from RNAcentral.
AUUGAACGCUGGCGGCAUGCUUUACACAUGCAAGUCGAACGGCAGCGGGGAGGAGCUUGCUUCUCUGCCGGCGAGUGGCGAACGGGUGAGUAAUACAUCGGAACGUGUCGAGAAGAGGGGGAUAACCACCCGAAAGGGUGGCUAAUACCGCAUAAAUUCUGAGGAAGAAAGCUGGGGACCUAGGAAUAGGCCUAGCGCUUUUUGAGCGGCCGAUGUCGGAUUAGCUAGUUGGUGAGGUAAAGGCUCACCAAGGCGAAGAUCUGUAGCGGGUCUGAGAGGAUGAUCCGCCACACUGGGACUGAGACACGGCCCAGACUCCUACGGGAGGCAGCAAUGGGGAAUUUUGGACAAUGGGGGCAACCCUGAUCCAGCCAUGCCGCGUGUAUGAAGAAGGCCUUAGGGUUGUAAAGUACUUUUGUUAGGGAAGAAAAGUCAGCUGUGAAUAAUGGCUGAUACUGACGGUACCUAAAGAAUAAGCACCGGCUAACUACGUG